UACGGAGGAUGCGAGCGUUAUCCGGAUUUAUUGGGUUUAAAGGGCGCGUAGGCGGACGCUUAAGUCAGCGGUAAAAUUGCGGGGCUCAACCUCGUCGAGCCGUUGAAACUGGGUGCCUUGAGUGGGCGAGAAGUACGCGGAAUGCGUGGUGUAGCGGUGAAAUGCAUAGAUAUCACGCAGAACUCCGAUUGCGAAGGCAGCGUACCGGCGCCCUACUGACGCUGAAGCACGAAGGCGUGGGUAUCGAACAGG
This 252-nucleotide ribosomal RNA is filed under the name uncultured bacterium. RNAcentral's name for it is "partial 16S ribosomal RNA". It matches the Rfam family "Bacterial small subunit ribosomal RNA", at positions 524 to 776 of the family's 1533-position model. The record is from RNAcentral.